UACAGAGGGUGCUAGCGUUGUUCGGAAUCAUUGGGCGUAAAGGGCGUGUAGGCGGUUUGUUAAGUCAUGUGUGAAAGCCCCCGGCUCAACUGGGGAGGGUCACGCGAUACUGUUCGACUUGAAGGCAGGAGAGGGAAGUGGAAUUCCCGGUGUAGUGGUGAAAUGCGUAGAUAUCGGGAGGAACACCAGUGGCGAAGGCGACUUCCUGGCCUGUUCUUGACGCUGAGGCGCGAAAGCUAGGGUAGCAAACGGG
RNAcentral lists this ribosomal RNA (253 nucleotides) under uncultured bacterium. RNAcentral describes it as "partial 16S ribosomal RNA". It matches the Rfam family "Bacterial small subunit ribosomal RNA", at positions 524 to 776 of the family's 1533-position model. The record is from RNAcentral.